UUUCGAGGUUUGAUGUAUCUAGGCCGAGUGUUGCCGUAUUUGAUUUUUGUGUGUUAUGGCCUUGCGAGGCUAUGUGAACUAUGUGUUUUAGACCGGCCGUUUGGUGGCAUUGGGUCCUAGCCGUUUUUUGCGGCUUCUAUAUAUAUGAUGAAUGAUUGACAUUCUGUGCGUUUUAGUUUAUACUUCUGCCAAGUGUGAGGGAAAGAUACGAGUAGUCACUUCGUAUCUUAAAUCUUAGUUUAUCGUCUUGUUCGUUUGCUCUUACUGAACGAGGGCGUUCGGAAACGUUUAGGAGUUUCGCGAAGUUUUGUGAGCGUAUUAGAUAUAGA
RNAcentral lists this long non-coding RNA (329 nucleotides) under Brassica napus (rape). RNAcentral describes it as "long non-coding RNA (BNAP_LNC011083)". The record is from RNAcentral. Lineage: Eukaryota; Viridiplantae; Streptophyta; Magnoliopsida; Brassicales; Brassicaceae.